UGGGGAAUUUUGGACAAUGGGCGAAGCUGAUCCAGCAAUGCCGCGUGUGUGAAGAAGGCCUUCGGUUGUAAGCACUUUUGUCCGGAAAGAAAUCCUUGGCUCUAAUACAGUCGGGGGAUGACGGUACCGGAAGAAUAAGCACCGGCUAACUACGUGCCAGCAGCCGCGGUAAUACGUAGGGUGCAAGCGUUAAUCGGAAUUACUGGGCGUAAAGCGUGCGCAGGCGGUUUGCUAAGACCGAUGUGAAAUCCCCGGGCUCAACCUGGGAACUGCAUUGGUGACUGGCAGGCUAGAGUAUGGCAGAGGGGGGUAGAAUUCCACGUGUAGCAGUGAAAUGCGUAGGAGAUGUGGAGGAAUACCGAUGGCGAAGGCAGCCCCCUGGGCCAAAUACUGACGCUCAUGCACGAAAGCGUGGGGAGCAAACAGGAUUAGAUACCCUGGUAGUCCACGCCCUAAACGAUGUCAACUAGUUGUUGGGGAUUCAUUUCCUUAGUAACGUAGCUAACGCGUGAAGUUGACCGCCUGGGGAGUACGGUCGCAAGAUUAAAACUC
RNAcentral lists this ribosomal RNA (552 nucleotides) under uncultured bacterium. Its description in RNAcentral is "partial 16S ribosomal RNA". It matches the Rfam family "Bacterial small subunit ribosomal RNA", at positions 355 to 902 of the family's 1533-position model. The record is from RNAcentral.